This 379-nucleotide long non-coding RNA is filed under the name Homo sapiens (human). Its description in RNAcentral is "non-protein coding lnc-TDRD15-8:2". The record is from RNAcentral. Lineage: Eukaryota; Metazoa; Chordata; Mammalia; Primates; Hominidae.
CUACUGCUAGAUAGAGCCAUAGCUCUUCAUGUGGGGUAGGGGUGAGACAAUGCAUCAGAAUCACACUGGGAGCUUUUGAAAACUGCACACACCAGUUAUGAUCUUAACUCAUUUCUCCUUUCCUGUAGUAGAAUGAUAUAUUCAUGGGCUUUUCAUGUGACUUUGGAAUACCUCCCACUGGAACAGGAAUAUAUAUCCUGUUGAUGGCGGUCAUGGCUUUAACCAUGGAUGUUAGGAUACAUGAUAUAAGCAGAGGUUUUCAAUAUGCUUUGGUUAUUUGGCUUGGCCUCUUGCAUUUCUGCAUCUGCCAUAAGAAAAACAUGCCUUGGCUGAUUUCUGGUCCAUGGAAUGAGGAGACAUAUGGAGCACACCUGAACUC